Molecule: long non-coding RNA, 821 nt
Organism: Sardina pilchardus (European sardine)
Lineage: Eukaryota; Metazoa; Chordata; Actinopteri; Clupeiformes; Clupeidae
Exons: 5
Source: RefSeq, a predicted model, not a curated record
AUAGCGAGUAGUGCUUCCACACGGGUUUGCAGCAACACGCCGACGCUGGCUCAGCUAGUUAUCCACACUGUUAAUCUUCACGUUGCUUGCAUUAUAGCAAGUAACGUUAGCGAUUCCAUACUGGUUUGCAGCAACACGCCGACGCUGGCUCAGCUAGUUAUCCACACUGUUCACGUUGCUUGCAUUAGAGCAGGUAACGUUAGCGAUUCCACACUGGUUUGCAGCAACAGGCAACGUUGACGCUGGUGAGAGUGUGCUCAGCUAGUCACCCACAUUGUUAAACUCCCUGGGCUUUAUAACAUCUAAUAAAUCUACUGUAGGCUGGCUUCAACUGAGGAUUACUUCGUCUGUCCAACUAGCCACUGUUUUUCCUGGGGUUAAUCAUUCCUUUAGUUUGUAUUUGCCUUGAAUAUAUGUGCCACAACGUGUCCUGACCUGGAGCUUGGUGGGCUUAGGGGGAAGGCCUGCUAAGUUUAGCUUGCUAGUUGUACCGUUUGUUGGUUCGUUUAUUUGUCUGUCUUUCUUUCUUUUUUGUCUAUGUUAUGCAACCAUUGUGCAAUAUUUCUCUUAGGGGGCAGUGUCCUUUUGUAGUGUCCACCUGUGUGCAGUGUGAAACGCCGUGUGCGUGUACGGCCUAUUUGGUGUGGAGUCUCUUUGCAGUGUUUGAGUGUGUGCGUUUACACGCAAACUAUUGACUUUAUUCACUGUGAUCAUAUUUUGCUGUGACUUAUUUAUUGGAGAGCCUUGUCACUGCCACCAACAUAGAAUAUUUGACUGCAUGGUUGUAUUUAUUGUGUCUUGAGUGUUUUAAUAAAAGUAUA